This 77-nucleotide transfer RNA is filed under the name bacterium. Its description in RNAcentral is "tRNA-Met". It matches the Rfam family "tRNA". From Rfam's summary of the family: Transfer RNA (tRNA) molecules are approximately 80 nucleotides in length. RNAcentral also lists the same sequence under 4 other names. The record is from RNAcentral.
CGCGGGGUGGAGCAGUUCGGUAGCUCGUCGGGCUCAUAACCCGAAGGUCGGAGGUUCAAAUCCUCCUCCCGCAACCA